UACGUAGGGUGCGAGCGUUAAUCGGAUUUACUGGGCGUAAAGGGGGCGUAGGCGGCCGUGUAAGUCCGGUGUGAAAUACCACGGCUCAACCGUGGGACUGCGCUGGAAACUACACGGCUUGAGGACGGUAGAGGGAGACGGAACUGCUGGUGUAGGGGUGAAAUCCGUAGAUAUCAGCAGGAACGCCGGUGGAGAAGUCGGUCUCCUGGGCCGUUCCUGACGCUGAGGCCCGAAAGCUAGGGGAGCAAACCGG
RNAcentral lists this ribosomal RNA (253 nucleotides) under uncultured microorganism. RNAcentral describes it as "partial 16S ribosomal RNA". It matches the Rfam family "Bacterial small subunit ribosomal RNA", at positions 524 to 776 of the family's 1533-position model. The record is from RNAcentral.